RNAcentral lists this transfer RNA (89 nucleotides) under Salmonella enterica subsp. enterica serovar Saintpaul. RNAcentral's name for it is "tRNA-Met". It matches the Rfam family "tRNA". From Rfam's summary of the family: Transfer RNA (tRNA) molecules are approximately 80 nucleotides in length. Their secondary structure includes four short double-helical elements and three loops (D, anti-codon, and T loops). Further hydrogen bonds mediate the characteristic L-shaped molecular structure. tRNAs have two regions of fundamental functional importance: the anti-codon, which is responsible for specific mRNA codon recognition, and the 3' end, to which the tRNAs corresponding amino acid is attached (by aminoacyl-tRNA synthetases). tRNAs cope with the degeneracy of the genetic code in two manners: having more than one tRNA (with a specific anti-codon) for a particular amino acid; and 'wobble' base-pairing, i.e. permitting non-standard base-pairing at the 3rd anti-codon position. The record is from RNAcentral. Lineage: Bacteria; Pseudomonadati; Pseudomonadota; Gammaproteobacteria; Enterobacterales; Enterobacteriaceae.
GAGCAUAUAAGUUAGAGGAAUUAACACCCGACUCAUAAUCGGAUAGGGAGCACGCUCCCACUCGCCGGUUCGAAUCCGGUAUAUGCUCG